Long non-coding RNA from Astyanax mexicanus (Mexican tetra), 343 nucleotides. RefSeq lists it as uncharacterized. NCBI's taxonomy places the organism in Eukaryota, Metazoa, Chordata, Actinopteri, Characiformes, Acestrorhamphidae. The record is from RefSeq and is a predicted model, not a curated record. The transcript is spliced from 3 exons.
GCUUUGGCAACAUCGAACAUCCUGUCCAUAUUUAUGAUUUUAUUUUUGUGCAAAAAGUUACACAACACUCAUCAUAAAGAUUCUGCUGAAGGUCGAGCUCAAGUACACCAGACUGAAGAAACUGGAGAUCUGAACUACGCAGCUCUCAGCUUUACUCAGCCUCCCUCCUCAAGAAGAAGCAGAACAAAGAACAGCGAUGAUCAGUCUGUGUACUCACAAGUGAAGAGCCAUCAAUAAAAUCAUAAUUAAUAUAAAAAUUUUACUAUUUUACCAUAUCAUUGUAACUGCUCUGUAAACAGUAUUCAUUUCAUAAAUAUUCAUACUGUAUAUAGUGAACAAUCAG